UUAAUAUUUAUUUUUAACUGAAGAUACUGCUACUGCAACGGUUUUUGAAUGUCCAACGGCGAGCAAGCCCGCCGAGGAAACAAUGGGUACUCAUAAACAAAGGGUAUCUAUCAAGCGGGGACGAAUCCCCACAAUAAUGAUCCUUCCGCAGGUUCACCUACGGAAA
RNAcentral lists this unclassified non-coding RNA (166 nucleotides) under uncultured fungus. RNAcentral's name for it is "sequence contains ITS1". The record is from RNAcentral. Lineage: Eukaryota; Fungi.